UACUCGAGUGGCGAACGGGUGAGUAACACGUGGGUGAUCUGCCUUGCACUCUGGGAUAAGCUUGGGAAACUGGGUCUAAUACCGGAUAGGAACCGUCUUUAGUGUGGUGGUUGGAAAGUUUUUUCGGUGCAAGAUGAGCUCGCGGCCUAUCAGCUUGUUGGUGGGGUAAUGGCCUACCAAGGCGUCGACGGGUAGCCGGCCUGAGAGGGUGGACGGCCACAUUGGGACUGAGACACGGCCCAG
RNAcentral lists this ribosomal RNA (243 nucleotides) under uncultured Actinomycetales bacterium. RNAcentral describes it as "partial 16S ribosomal RNA". It matches the Rfam family "Bacterial small subunit ribosomal RNA", at positions 88 to 334 of the family's 1533-position model. The record is from RNAcentral. Lineage: Bacteria; Bacillati; Actinomycetota; Actinomycetes; Actinomycetales.